This 598-nucleotide ribosomal RNA is filed under the name uncultured bacterium. RNAcentral describes it as "bacterial SSU rRNA". It matches the Rfam family "Bacterial small subunit ribosomal RNA", at positions 338 to 951 of the family's 1533-position model. The record is from RNAcentral.
CCUACGGGAGGCAGCAGUGGGGAAUCUUGCGCAAUGGGCGAAAGCCUGACGCAGCAACGCCGCGUGCGGGAAGAAGGCUUUCGGGCUGUAAACCGCUUUCAGCAGGAACGAAAAUGACGGUACCUGCAGAAGAAGGAGCGGCCAACUAUGUGCCAGCAGCCGCGGUGAUACAUAGGCUUCAAGCGUUGUCCGGAUUUAUUGGGCGUAAAGAGUUCGUAGGCGGUCGAGUAAGUCGGGUGUGAAAAUUCUGGGCUCAACCCAGAGACGCCACCCGAUACUGCUUGACUUGAGUUCGAUAGGGGAGUGGGGAAUUCCUAGUGUAGCGGUGAAAUGCGCAGAUAUUAGGAGGAACACCGGUGGCGAAGGCGCCACUCUGGAUCGAUACUGACGCUGAGGAACGAAAGCAUGGGUAGCAAACAGGAUUAGAUACCCUGGUAGUCCAUGCCGUAAACGGUGGGCACUAGGUGUGGGUUUCUAUUAACGAAAUCCGNGCCGUCGCUAACGCAUUAAGUGCCCCGCCUGGGAGGUACGGUCGCAGACUAAACUACAAGAAGUAGACGGCGNGAGACGUGCCGACGGACGACGACGAGGGAGUAGG